UCCGAACUUCCCUCUCUCUCUCCAAAAUUUCCAAAUCUCUCUCUGGUUUACAUUAAAAACUCCAAGCCGAUUUCUAGGGUUUUUGAUUUCUCGCUUCGAAUUGUAGAACUAGGAUUUGAAAUGAAACACGAGAGUAGCACCGGAAUGGGGUUCGAUUUGACGGAAGAUAAAACGGCGAUGGAGCCGAUUCCACACACUGCAGCCACUUCAUGAACUAUUCGCGUUCAAUUGGGCUGUCGAUCUCUCCAAAUACCUACUGGAGAUUUACUCCGGCGAGGUCGCCAAUCUCUCCGAGGAUGCUUUGCUGAUUCAGGGCUCCAUUCACUCACUGGUUAUUCUUCUGCAUGCCUCGGAGUUCAUUUCGCUCGCAGAACAGAACAGAGGCUUCUCGUUUCCAACGCAGGCCGAACCGAGAGAAUGCUGAGGCGAUCAAGGCCGUUUUGAAGUACAAAAAGAGGUUUACGCCUGAGCUGCUAGACUACCAGGCAACCAACUGUACCACAAUCCAGAAAAAAAACAAGGCUUGCUGCAUCUUUUUUUGAUUUCGAUACUGAAACUGACACACCUCUUGUCCCUCUAGUCGCAAACCGCUAUCGCGGCCAAAGCUUGCUUUUUUAGAGGACACCUUCUCAUGUCCCUAGUUUCACAGGGGUGGGUCAAUGUCGAAAAGGAGAGUGCUGGUGGAUCUAGAAGCUGGGGUUUUUGGUUCUUCUGACGCUCUGGAGGCUUUUUUAGUCAAGGCCGAACAAAAGAGCCUUAUGGACGUAAAACUGGAGAUAGGGGCUUCCGGCCUUUCUGCCGUUGCUACCAAACUCUCUACUUCAAUCACUGAAAUGGUGAAGAAGAGAAGAAGGGAGACUGGUAAGGCCAUAAUUGGAGAAGCUUCUAAGGAUCCUGUUGAGGAUGAGUCAUUUGAGAAGUGAGAGCCGCCUAUGUUGCAUCAAGGCAGACUUAUUUCUAUUUCUGAUUCGGUUGUUGCUUCUGGAGACUUUGCUUUUGACCUAACCAAGACUUUGUCGAUGUCAGUAGACAUGUGGGGUCACAAUGGGCCUCGUGAUAUUCUGAUCCUGAAGGGAACCCUUCAAAUGAUGGUUGCUUGUAACCAAAUGAUGCAUCUGUCCAUCACCCAAGUUAAAGAAUUGGAGAGGGUCGUAUUGGAGGCCGCUAUGGAUGUCGAAAGGCUGACGGCAAAUUUGGAGGUCGAAAAGGAAGGCAGAAAGGGAAUCGCCUGAACAAGGUUGUCGCCUUUGCUGAAAAAUCAAAAGAGGCUGCUAUUAGGGUUCAGGCCUAACUUGAGAGCAAGGUUGCUGAACUGGAGACGAUUAUAGUAGUUAUAGCCGCUAAAUGUUUGACUUUGAAGGCUAAGCACUAGCAGCAGGGCUGGGACGAAGCUGAAGCCGCUUAUAAAGAAAAAGUGUUGAUGCUGCGCGACAAGUUUUUUCUUAAAGACUGGACGAGUAACCUUGCUGUUGCUUAGAUUCCUGAAGAAUCCUCCUUGUUUUAGAAUGUUCUUGUUCCCUCGAAGUCCUCGAGUUUGAAGACCAAUACUACCCCUGUUACUCCUUUACAAAGAUUCCUUCAGAGACUGAUGCUGCAAGUAAGAUUCCGGAAAGUGGUGUUGUUAAUGAAACAGUGGAUGCUGAAAGGGAUGAAAACCUAGAGACUGAAGUUGUGGGAAACGUGGUUAAGGAGUUUUCUGCUUCUCAGGAAGCUGGAGCUACCUUUACUUUUCCUUCCCAAGAUGAUGUGAACCAAACUAUGAAUGUUGUCCCUGAAGUUCCUCCUACUGAUGAGAGUUAGAGUGGUUUUCAUCUGAAAAGACUUGAAGUUUAUUUUACACAUUUUUCCUUUCCUUCUCGUUUUCUUGAUGUACUGGAGCUCGGUCUUCCUGACGAGUUGCCCCCUGAUGCAUGCUAAGACAAUUUUUCUUUUUUUACUUUUUUUGUUGUGGCCAGUUGUGUCUUUUGUUGGAUGAUGAAAUUCGUCUUUUAGACCUUGCAAUCGGCUGUUUAAUGUUUAUGUUAUUUAUGCUGUUUGCCCCUGGCCAAGCAUUGUUGGGACUGAAGGGUCGAAUAAAUGCUCAGUCUGGUUUAUUUGACAUGCUGCAGGGUUGUGCUUGACUUGCAAUGAGAGUGUCUUACAUAGGUCUAGGUUGAUUCCAAGAAAACAAUCGUUUGCCCCCACCUGGAGCUAAGUAAGAUUGGUACUGAAGAUCUGUUCUUUGUGGCAGAACUGUUUGAGUCUGUUCCAACUCUUGAAGUCUUAUUCAGGUCCAGGUUUGGUCUUUGAGAAACAAUUGGUUGCCCUCACCUAGAGUUAAAUAAGGCUGAUGCUGGAAGUUUGGUGCUGAAAGAAUGAUCCAACUCUGGGUGCAUGCAGUAGUAUUGAAGCGAUUUCACCAAGCAAUUCCACUUGGUUAAAGUCCAUUUAAAAAAAUGAUUAUUUGAAAAAUACGUUAGUGCGGUUUCCACCAAGCAAUUCCACUUGGCUAAGGUCUGUUUUAGUUGCCAAACAUAAUUUCACCAAGCAAUUCCAGAUGGCAUGUUUGAGCGCUAACUAAAACUAAAUUUCGUUCGCUCGCUCCAAAACUAGGUCCGUUUGGGUAAAACCAAAGCUAAAUCCGUUUGAUAAACAUCAAAACUAAUUCCGUUUGAUAAACAUCAAAGCUAAUUCUGUUUGAUAAACACCAAAG
Non-coding RNA from Camellia sinensis, 2692 nucleotides. The record is from RefSeq and is a predicted model, not a curated record. NCBI's taxonomy places the organism in Eukaryota, Viridiplantae, Streptophyta, Magnoliopsida, Ericales, Theaceae.